CACGUAGGCACCAAGCGUUGUCCGGAAUCAUUGGGCGUAAAGCGCGUGUAGGCGGUUCGAUAAGUCUGCUGUGAAAGUCCAGGGCUCAACCCUGGAAAGCCGGUGGAUACUGUCGGACUAGAGUGCGGAAGAGGCGAGUGGAAUUCCCGGUGUAGCGGUGAAAUGCGCAGAUAUCGGGAGGAACACCAGUGGCGAAGGCGAGUCUCUGGACGACACCUGACACUGAGGCACGAAAGCUAGGGGAGCAAACAGG
RNAcentral lists this ribosomal RNA (253 nucleotides) under uncultured bacterium. RNAcentral's name for it is "partial 16S ribosomal RNA". It matches the Rfam family "Bacterial small subunit ribosomal RNA", at positions 524 to 776 of the family's 1533-position model. The record is from RNAcentral.